This 301-nucleotide ribosomal RNA is filed under the name uncultured bacterium. Its description in RNAcentral is "partial 16S ribosomal RNA". It matches the Rfam family "Bacterial small subunit ribosomal RNA", at positions 509 to 809 of the family's 1533-position model. The record is from RNAcentral.
CAGCAGCCGCGGUAAUACGGAGGGUGCAAGCGUUAAUCGGAAUUAUUGGGCGUAAAGGGCUCGCAGGCGGUUUCUUAAGUCUGAUGUGAAAGCCCCCGGCUCAACCGGGGAGGGUCAUUGGAAGCUGGGAAACUUGAGUGCAGAAGAGGAGAGUGGAAUUCCACGUGUAGCGGUGAAAUGCGUAGAGAUGUGGAGGAACACCAGUGGCGAAGGCGACUCUCUGGUCUGUAACUGGCGCUGAGGAGCGAAAGCGUGGGGAGCGAACAGGAUUAGAUACCCCUGUAGUCCCUGUCUCUUAUAA